GAUCCAGCUUUGUACAAGCCCUUUUUAACUUAGUACUACUUAGAAGCUAUUACAUGACGAUGAUAUGAAUUAACAACAAUAAUUGUCAGGCUCAUUGCCUGCUGUUUAAAAAAAAAAGGAAAACAUAUUUUAAUAACUAUGUGGUCUUCAGGCAUUUGCAUUGAAGGAGGAGUUGGAGCUGAGGCUCCUGGGGAAAGCUUGCAUGUGCCAUACAAUAAUUUGAUGGACUUGCGGUGUUGGUUAACCGCAACAACUGCUGCUUCAUCACUGCAGUGAUCAAAAAACCCACACCAUCACAGCUCUAGUAAUACAUUUUUAAAAAAGGCUUUUGGACUGUCUGGUGCAUUUAUAAUGUCCACAGAAAGAAAACAGUAAUAAUUUCUAUCUUAAUUUGUAAUCGAAGAAAAGAGUAACCAAAUAGUAACCUCUACAUUAAUAAUUAGAAAAGCUGUAGAGAUGGAGACCUAUGUAGAAACAUAAUAACCCUUGGAAUAAAUGAAAACCGGGUCAACAUUCUGGAGAAAAGACUGGACGAUAUAGAACAACAAGUGAAGAGCGGUGUGAACCCCCAACAACAACUUAGAUACGUUCACAGGAACCCUGAUUUGGAAUGGCAAACGUAUUGGCCUGGACAACAACAAGGUCCUGCUGAGGGGAUGUACCCUGAAAAACACAGAAUGGUGCUUUGGCCUGCUCAUCUUUGCAGGGGAGCUCAACUACCAGGCUCAGUCACCUGAUGAGAGCGCUGUGGUAACCGCAGUUAGGAACUUUGGCUUUGUGUUCCAUUCUCGCACACCAGAAACCAUCCCAGUCAUGGAGAUGGGCAAAAAAGUCAUAUAUGAGCUUGCAGCUGUCCGCAAUAGGCGGAAGAGGACGUCAGUCAUAGGAAAGACCACCCUCUUCUGCAAAGGAGCAGACAGAGUUGUCUUUGAGAGACUGCACUCCUUCAACAAACUUGAAGAAGCUACCCAAGAACAUCUCAAUGUCAGACGUACAACUAGAUUGUGUUUAUUCAUGCAAUGUAGACAUGUUGUGUAACACUAAAAAUAAUAUUUUUACUCC
Non-coding RNA from Oryzias latipes (Japanese medaka), 1062 nucleotides. Lineage: Eukaryota; Metazoa; Chordata; Actinopteri; Beloniformes; Adrianichthyidae. The record is from RefSeq and is a predicted model, not a curated record.